ACAUCCUGGGACCUUCUGAACUAAACUGGAUGGGGUUAGACUGAGGUCACGCUGUAUUUUCUCUUCCCUGGAGACCACGUAGUAGUUCCAUAGGCUGCCAUUAGAUAGCAGCACAGUACACACCAUCAGUCAUGUCUCUCAUAGUCUCUCCCGUUAAGGUUGGAAUUAUCUCAUUUACACACACACACACACACACACAUACACACAGAGACAGAGAGAGAGAG
Molecule: long non-coding RNA, 224 nt
Filed under: Homo sapiens (human)
Lineage: Eukaryota; Metazoa; Chordata; Mammalia; Primates; Hominidae
Description: non-protein coding lnc-POLL-6:1
Source: RNAcentral